Molecule: non-coding RNA, 21 nt
Filed under: Arabidopsis thaliana (thale cress)
Lineage: Eukaryota; Viridiplantae; Streptophyta; Magnoliopsida; Brassicales; Brassicaceae
Source: RNAcentral
UAUGUUAUGAUAUCGGGAGGC